This 210-nucleotide long non-coding RNA is filed under the name Elaeis guineensis (African oil palm). RNAcentral describes it as "long non-coding RNA (EGUI_LNC073399)". Lineage: Eukaryota; Viridiplantae; Streptophyta; Magnoliopsida; Arecales; Arecaceae. The record is from RNAcentral.
GGCAAGCAAGGUGGGGGAGCACCCGCCGUUUUGUUCUGCAGGUUCGACGUAUGUGGACCCACAGCAAACAGAGCAAGCACGUGGCACAUGGAGUGACAGAUGUAGGUGCACCGGUCACUAAUCUACGCCAGCUAGCCAUAUGGACAGCAUAUGAUGGGACCACAGCUUCCAUUAAAUAUUGCACUGCGGGACAUCCUCCACCCAUCCCCC